AAAAAAAAAAAACUUAGCAAUCAAAUAUCAAAAAAUAAAAAAUAUUAUUAAAAAAUUAAAUGUCAAAAUAUAUUUUCUUACGGAGAAAUGGACCCUACGCCGUAUUCUGGCCACUCUCCUCCUUGAAACAAUUAUAUGCUGUUGUGGAUAAUAUACCACGCCUAAGUUGGGCUAAAAAAAGCUUACCAGCACAUGUGGUCCAUCCCCAAUCAAUUCGAUGGCUUGAACAGGUUCUUGGACCAUGCUUACCAAAUUAUUUGGCCUCCUGAACCAAUGCCGCGGAUUUGACCACUGCAUGCUAGCAAACUAAUUAAAAAUAUUUAAAUAUUAUAAUUAAUGGUAUAAAAAUUAAUAUAAUUAAAACUUACAUUUCUAAAAAAAGCUCUAUCCAUUAUAUUGUCCAUUUUUAAUUUCAGUUCUUCUUUUUUAUUUUUAUUUUUGUUAUCGAUUUUUUUUUUUUUUUGCGUUCUAUCGAUUUUAAUUUUUCAAGUCGAUGACACUGAAAAUAUUCAUCAAAUUCGCUACUUAUAUUCAACUGCUGACCAUAAGUGGCUGUGAAUUGUAAAAAUAAAAAAAAUUGAAUAUCGAACCAAAAUCGAUUUACAAAAAUUAGGUUUGGGUCUUUACUAAACAAA
Molecule: long non-coding RNA, 635 nt
Organism: Episyrphus balteatus (marmalade hoverfly)
Lineage: Eukaryota; Metazoa; Arthropoda; Insecta; Diptera; Syrphidae
Exons: 3
Source: RefSeq, a predicted model, not a curated record